UGGGGAAUAUUGCACAAUGGGCGCAAGCCUGAUGCAGUCAUGCCGCGUGUAUGAAGAAGGCCUUCGGGUUGUAAAGUACUUUCAGCGGGGAGGAAGGCGAUGCGGUUAAUAACCGCGUCGAUUGACGUUACCCGCAGAAGAAGCACCGGCUAACUCCGUGCCAGCAGCCGCGGUAAUACGGAGGGUGCAAGCGUUAAUCGGAAUUACUGGGCGUAAAGCGCACGCAGGCGGUUUGUCAAGUCGGAUGUGAAAUCCCCGGGCUCAACCUGGGAACUGCAUCCGAAACUGGCAGGCUUGAGUCUCGUAGAGGGGGGUAGAAUUCCAGGUGUAGCGGUGAAAUGCGUAGAGAUCUGGAGGAAUACCGGUGGCGAAGGCGGCCCCCUGGACGAAGACUGACGCUCAGGUGCGAAAGCGUGGGGAGCAAACA
Molecule: ribosomal RNA, 427 nt
Filed under: uncultured bacterium
Lineage: Bacteria
Description: partial 16S ribosomal RNA
Rfam family: Bacterial small subunit ribosomal RNA
Source: RNAcentral